RNAcentral lists this ribosomal RNA (393 nucleotides) under uncultured bacterium. RNAcentral's name for it is "partial 16S ribosomal RNA". It matches the Rfam family "Bacterial small subunit ribosomal RNA", at positions 523 to 918 of the family's 1533-position model. The record is from RNAcentral.
AUACGGAGGAUGCGAGCGUUAUCCGGAUUUAUUGGGUUUAAAGGGUGCGUAGGCGGUUUGCUAAGCGGGAGGUGAAAUGCCGGCGCUCAACGUCGGAAGUGCCUCCCGAACUGGUGGACUUGAAUGACUCUGCCGUGGGAGGAAUGUGUAGUGUAGCGGUGAAAUGCUUAGAGAUUACACAGAACACCGAUUGCGAAGGCAUCUCACGAAGGGUUGAUUGACGCUGAGGCACGAAAGCGUGGGGAUCAAACAGGAUUAGAUACCCUGGUAGUCCACGCAGUAAACGAUGAUGGCUAACCGCUGGGCUUAUCAGUUCAGUGGCCAAGCGAAAGCGAUAAGCCAUCCACCUGGGGAGUACGACCGCAAGGUUGAAACUCAAAUGAAUUGGCGGGG